Ahaetulla prasina is the source of this 869-nucleotide long non-coding RNA. RefSeq lists it as uncharacterized. The record is from RefSeq and is a predicted model, not a curated record. NCBI's taxonomy places the organism in Eukaryota, Metazoa, Chordata, Lepidosauria, Squamata, Colubridae. The transcript is spliced from 3 exons.
UUUGCUCUGCCAUCGCUACUAGAUCGCCAAACUACCGGCCACGAUCGCUACCAGAUUCCGUGAUCUGGUCCGAUCCAGUAGCAUUUCACCUCUGGAUGUGGACCUUGAGCUUCAGCCUGCAAUCUGAUGCAAAAGGUGCAUUUACAACAGUAUCAUGCAGAAGGUCAAAAUCUAUUUUCUGCUUUUUCCAUAAUGCAAGGCAGAAAGCAGGUAGUCCUUGACUUAUGGCCGGUUGUUUAACUACCCUUCAAAGUUACAAUGGCCUCAGAAAGGGUGCUUUAUGACCUGUAAAGUACUUUUGGCAUCACUUUGCCCCUCCACCUCGCAUAUUGCAUCUGGAUGCUCGUUUGGACUUAUGCCCAAUUGCCAAGUGUCCCACAAUCAGGGAGGGAACCUCAUGGUGCUCACAACAUAGCUGUCCUCAAAACAAGAAGGAAAAGAAUAGGGAGCAGAGGGAGAAGUCCAUUCCGACGGCAUGAAUUAGCUGGAACAUUGCUAAUUUGGAAAUACCCAUUAUAUUUCUAUAUAAAUGGGUGAAUGAACGAUAGGAGUGCUGGUAUCCAUGUAUUCAAGUCUUCUUAUGUGUGAGGGAGAAUUGACAGAGGAUGACAAUAUGUAAUGGUGAUAAAGUUAAGCGUCAGAAAGAGAUUCAGCAGAGAGAAAGCUCAUAAAAGUUGUGACUUGCUUCUGAUCUUUUAACCCAGGGGUGUCAAACUUGAUCACGUCACGUAUCGAGAUGUUUUUUGCCUUUGCUGAGCCAGGGUGGGUGCGGCCUUUGCAUGACGCAUCUGGCCUACAGGCCACCAGUUUGACAGGCCUGUUUUAACCUAACCUAAUUAAUCAAUGGGCUUGAUCUCGGGCAGGGGUCU